Sorghum bicolor (sorghum) is the source of this 108-nucleotide microRNA precursor. It matches the Rfam family "MIR5565 microRNA precursor family". NCBI's taxonomy places the organism in Eukaryota, Viridiplantae, Streptophyta, Magnoliopsida, Poales, Poaceae. The record is from Rfam.
GUAGCCAGAUUCGCAUCAAUCCACAUAUGUUGGGUGGGUUGGAGGGGAACUUAAACUAAAUUUCACCCUAAUCCACUUCAACAAAUGUGGAUUGAGAUGAAUCCGAUA